AGAGAUUGAAAGAAAAAGAAUGUGUGAGAGAGAGAACGAGAGAGAGAGAGAGAGAGAGAUUGAAAGAAAAAGAAAAAAGAAUAUUAAAUGGAGAUAGAUGGAACUAACUAAAGAGUGAGUGAUAUUAAGUGAGAAAGAGAGUAAGAGAAAAAGAGAGAGAGAGAGAGAGAGAGAUGGAUAUAGCCAAGAAAGAAAGAAAGAAAAAAAAAGAGA
Molecule: long non-coding RNA, 213 nt
Organism: Vespa mandarinia (Asian giant hornet)
Lineage: Eukaryota; Metazoa; Arthropoda; Insecta; Hymenoptera; Vespidae
Source: RefSeq, a predicted model, not a curated record